RNAcentral lists this ribosomal RNA (558 nucleotides) under uncultured Thiothrix sp. Its description in RNAcentral is "bacterial SSU rRNA". It matches the Rfam family "Bacterial small subunit ribosomal RNA", at positions 342 to 916 of the family's 1533-position model. Lineage: Bacteria; Pseudomonadati; Pseudomonadota; Gammaproteobacteria; Thiotrichales; Thiotrichaceae. The record is from RNAcentral.
CGGGAGGCAGCAGUCGGGAAUAUUGGACAAUGGGGGCAGCCCUGAUCCAGCUAUACCGCGUGUGUGAAGAAGGCCUGCGGGUUGUAAAGCACUUUCGCUAGGGACGAUAAUGACGGUACCUAGAUAAGAAGCACCGGCUAACUCCGUGCCAGCAGCCGCGGUAAUACGGAGGGUGCAAGCGUUAAUCGGAAUUACUGGGCGUAAAGCGCACGUAGGCGGUUAUUUAAGUCAGAUGUGAAAGCCCCGGGCUCAACCUGGGAACUGCAUCUGAUACUGGGUAACUAGAAUGUGGGAGAGGGAAGUGGAAUUUCCGGUGUAGCGGUGAAAUGCAUAGAGAUCGGAAGGAACAUCAGUGGCGAAGGCGACUUCCUGGACCAACAUUGACGCUGAGGUGCGAAAGCGUGGGUAGCAAACAGGAUUAGAUACCCUGGUAGUCCACGCUGUAAACGAUGUCAACUAGCCGUUGGGUUCAACUUAGAACUCAGUGGUGCAGCUAACGCAUUAAGUUGACCGCCUGGGGAGUACGCUCGCAAGAGUAAAACUCAAAGGAAUUGACGG